GGUUUUAUUCCCAUUCGGGAUGGAUAUGCGCACAGUAAAAAUAGCGUAAAAAUGAAAAACGUUCUGAGCGUGUGCUAAAACAUUAUCUGCAUCACUUCUUCUUGUUACUUUCAUUUCCUUCUUUGUACUUCUAGAUGCUUUUGAAAUACUGUGAAGUAUAUUUCAUUCAUAUUCCACGCAUUGUUGAUAUUAACAAAUGCUUUUGAAAUACUGUGAAGUAUAUUUCAUUCAUAUUCCACGCAUUGUUGAUAUUAACAAACAGGGAAAGAGAUAUAAAGUUACUCCGUAACUAUUGUGUGUUGCUAGUUUCUACUUUCUGAGAAGUUUUUUUUUUUGAGUUCUUAAAUGAUAAAAUGAAAUUGUUUUUAAAACAAUUUAUUUGUAUUUGGUGUUAUUAUUGUUGUAUUUGCAGUGUUGUGACAUUCGUUAAAUUUUAGUUACAUUUGUUUUAUCCAUUGUGUCCAACAUCGACAUGAUUUAGUACGGAGGUCGGCUGUAGAAUACUUUUUGACGUCGUAGACAAACGCUUUCAGACUUUCUACACAUCGCCUUCAAAUGGAAUAAAACAUUAUCUGCGUCACUCACUUCAUGUAGUUGGCUGUUACCUAUAACACAAGCAUUAAGUUGCUUACUUUAGGAACAGACGACAGUGUGUGUAUUGUGUAGAUAUUUAUUUAUUUAUUUGAACAGGGUUGGAGUUAGACUUUGUAAACCUGCAUCAGACAGCUGGCCUUCACUGAUAUUGUGGCGAUAGACACGUUUCGAAGAAAAGAAGAAAAUUAUGUUCGGUUCUAACCUAACAAAAACUCUGAUGUAGUGGAGCGUGUAGGAGCGCUGCAACAGCAACCGUCGCGGGUUUUAUUCCCAUUCGGGAUGGAUAUGUGCACAGUAAAAAUAGCGUAAAACGAAAAACAUUCUGAAACAUUCUUAACUGAGAAAAAUUCUGGGUGAGAGUGAGUGGAGGUGAGAUGAACACUUACCUUGUAGCAGUCCCAUCUGUUAGCGCUGGGUUGCAGCGAGGAGACCAGCAACAUCAGCGUUUUGAAAAUGAAUUGCAGUGGGUGUCAUCAAGAAAGUCAACAAUGGCAGCAUUACUAACGACUGAAUACUGAUACGAACUGAUAGAAAGGUCCCUGGAGAGGCAAAACUAGUACUCAGUAUAGUGUACGUGGCAGUAUAGGUCUGUGUAGGUACUCCUAAUCAAUAUUAAUAUAAUCCACUAUACAUUUUAUACAUCGUGUUGUUUUAUAUUCGAAUAUUAAAAUUCUUCAAAGAAUACAACAUAACUGCCUCCAUAUGUCAAGCUUUUAAUGUAACGUCACGAUUAUUGUCACAAGUUACGUGGUAACGUUGUCUAUUCACAUUAGAAAAUUGUUUAAGAUGAAAAAAAACGGUUCACUUCAUCUAUUAAAGAAUCGUUUGAAUUUAAUUGGAUGGAUGUGUCAAACUUUCAAUUAUUGUUUUCAAAGUGGAACGGAACAUUAUCUGCAUCACUAUUUUUUGCGUCAAUGUUAUUUAUAUACGAGUAUGU
RNAcentral lists this unclassified non-coding RNA (1531 nucleotides) under Melitaea cinxia (Glanville fritillary). RNAcentral describes it as "misc RNA ENSMCXG00005001364.1". Lineage: Eukaryota; Metazoa; Arthropoda; Insecta; Lepidoptera; Nymphalidae. The record is from RNAcentral.